This 154-nucleotide non-coding RNA is filed under the name Candidatus Burkholderia verschuerenii. Its description in RNAcentral is "Burkholderia sRNA 7". It matches the Rfam family "Burkholderia sRNA 7". From Rfam's summary of the family: Did not show any change in expression in iron-depletion and hydrogen peroxide (oxidative stress) treatment. Constitutively expressed. The record is from Rfam by way of RNAcentral. Lineage: Bacteria; Pseudomonadati; Pseudomonadota; Betaproteobacteria; Burkholderiales; Burkholderiaceae.
GUAUUCUUCGCGAAUGAACCAGAUCCUGAACGCACUUCGACGUCGCCGCUCACCGCUUCCCUAGGGAUGCCGCUGGCUCGUCAUGCAUUCGCGUUCACGGUUCGGUAAUACUUGAGCGCACGAAAUGAAGCCACGGACAUUCCGUGGCUUUUGU